RNAcentral lists this ribosomal RNA (232 nucleotides) under uncultured bacterium. Its description in RNAcentral is "partial 16S ribosomal RNA". It matches the Rfam family "Bacterial small subunit ribosomal RNA", at positions 89 to 334 of the family's 1533-position model. The record is from RNAcentral.
AGUAAAGUGGCGUACGGGUGAGUAACACGUGGAUCAUCUACCCUCUUGUGGGGGGAUAACCCUGGGAAACCGGGGCUAAUACCGCAUAAGCUCGAGAGAGGAAAGCAGCAAUGCGCAGGAGGAGGAGUCCGCGGCCGAUUAGCUAGUUGGUAGGGUAAAAGCCUACCAAGGCAACGAUCGGUAGCCGGCCUGAGAGGGCACACGGCCACACUGGCACUGAAACACGGGCCAG